This 253-nucleotide ribosomal RNA is filed under the name uncultured bacterium. Its description in RNAcentral is "partial 16S ribosomal RNA". It matches the Rfam family "Bacterial small subunit ribosomal RNA", at positions 524 to 776 of the family's 1533-position model. The record is from RNAcentral.
UACGUAGGGUGCAAGCGUUGUCCGGAAUUAUUGGGCGUAAAGAGCUCGUAGGCGGUUUGUUGCGUCGGCUGUGAAAUCCCGAGGCUCAACCUCGGGUCUGCAGUCGAUACGAGCAAACUAGAGUGUUGCAGGGGAGACUGGAAUUCCUGGUGUAGCGGUGAAAUGCGCAGAUAUCAGGAGGAACACCCGUGGCGAAAGCGGCUCUCUGGGACGGUACUGACGCUGAGACGCGAAAGCCGGGGGAGCAAACAGG